GGUUCCGUGGUGUAGUUGGUUUAUCACACCAGUCUAACACACUGGUGGUCCCCAGUUCGAGCCUGGGCGGAGCCA
Molecule: transfer RNA, 75 nt
Organism: Rhizoclosmatium globosum
Lineage: Eukaryota; Fungi; Chytridiomycota; Chytridiomycetes; Chytridiales; Chytriomycetaceae
Rfam family: tRNA
About the family: Transfer RNA (tRNA) molecules are approximately 80 nucleotides in length.
Source: Rfam